RNAcentral lists this ribosomal RNA (484 nucleotides) under uncultured bacterium. RNAcentral describes it as "partial 16S ribosomal RNA". It matches the Rfam family "Bacterial small subunit ribosomal RNA", at positions 30 to 507 of the family's 1533-position model. The record is from RNAcentral.
AUUGAACGCUGGCGGCAGGCCUAACACGUGCAAGUCGAGCGGAUGAAGGGAGCUUGCUCCUGGAUUCAGCGGCGGACGGGUGAGUAAUGCCUAGGAAUCUGCCUGGUAGUGGGGGAUAACGUCCGGAAACGGGCGCUAAUACCGCAUACGUCCUGAGGGAGAAAGUGGGGGAUCUUCGGACCUCACGCUAUCAGAUGAGCCUAGGUCGGAUUAGCUAGUUGGUGGGGUAAAGGCCUACCAAGGCGACGAUCCGUAACUGGUCUGAGAGGAUGAUCAGUCACACUGGAACUGAGACACGGUCCAGACUCCUACGGGAGGCAGCAGUGGGGAAUAUUGGACAAUGGGCGAAAGCCUGAUCCAGCCAUGCCGCGUGUGUGAAGAAGGUCUUCGGAUUGUAAAGCACUUUAAGUUGGGAGGAAGGGCGGUAAGUUAAUACCUUGCUGUUUUGACGUUACCAACAGAAUAAGCACCGGCUAACUUCGUG